Small nucleolar RNA from Cephalotus follicularis, 102 nucleotides. It matches the Rfam family "Plant small nucleolar RNA R71". Rfam says of the family: R71 is a member of the C/D box family of snoRNAs containing the C (UGAUGA) and D (CUGA) box motifs. Multiple nearly identical copies of this snoRNA have been identified in Arabidopsis, and it is thought to function as a 2'-O-ribose methylation guide for 18S ribosomal RNA. The record is from Rfam. Lineage: Eukaryota; Viridiplantae; Streptophyta; Magnoliopsida; Oxalidales; Cephalotaceae.
ACGGCAUGAUGGGGACAUUUUCUGAUGAGGUCCUUUAAUCUUUCCCAUGCCUCAUGGUACUGUUCACUAUUGUGCUGUGAAAAGCUAGUGAGAGCUCACCUU